CUCGGUCCAUAGAAUCAAGGGCGCGAUCCAUUGGAAUAGUUUGCGGUCCACAGGCACGGUCCACAGUAGAAGGAAGACUUUUUACGCUGAUCGAUGGUACAGAUCAAAUUUGAAGCUCGAUCCAACGGUUGUGGUGGUUUCCGACUUUGUUAAGGAGAGAUUUGCACGAUCCAAUAACUGAAAUUUCAUCUAGAGUACGAUCGGACGGUCAGAAAUACAUCCGACUUUGAUAAGGAUUAAAACAUCAGAUUUUGGGCUGAUCUGGAUGGUUCAAAGGCGAUCCGACGGCAAAAAAUUAAUAUAAAGGGUAUUAUACGAAUUCUAAGGGUUUUAGGACUCCUUUU
Molecule: long non-coding RNA, 344 nt
Filed under: Elaeis guineensis (African oil palm)
Lineage: Eukaryota; Viridiplantae; Streptophyta; Magnoliopsida; Arecales; Arecaceae
Description: long non-coding RNA (EGUI_LNC049637)
Source: RNAcentral